Molecule: ribosomal RNA, 500 nt
Filed under: uncultured organism
Description: SSU rRNA
Rfam family: Bacterial small subunit ribosomal RNA
Source: RNAcentral
GAUCCUGGCUCAGGAUGAACGCUGGCGGCGUGCUUAACACAUGCAAGUCGAACGGAGGACCCUUGACGGAGUUUUCGGACAACAGAUAGGAAUCCUUAGUGGCGGACGGGUGAGUAACGCGUGAGGAACCUGCCUUGGAGAGGGGAAUAACACAGAGAAAUUUGUGCUAAUACCGCAUGAUGCAGUUAUAUCGCAUGGUAUUGACUGACCAAAGUAUUUUAUCGCUCUGAGAUGGCCUCGCGUCUGAUUAGCUGGUUGGCGGGUAACGGCCCACCAAGGCGACGAUCAGUAGCCGGACUGAGAGGUUGGCCGGCCACAUUGGGACUGAGACACGGCCCAGACUCCUACGGGAGGCAGCAGUGGGGAAUAUUGGGCAAUGGGCGCAAGCCUGACCCAGCAACGCCGCGUGAAGGAAGAAGGCUUUCGGGUUGUAAACUUCUUUUAUGGAGGACGAAGGAAGUGACGGUACUCCAUGAAUAAGCUCCGGCUAACUACGUGCC